RNAcentral lists this unclassified non-coding RNA (519 nucleotides) under Hevea brasiliensis (rubber tree). Lineage: Eukaryota; Viridiplantae; Streptophyta; Magnoliopsida; Malpighiales; Euphorbiaceae. The record is from RNAcentral.
GCUUUGCUCUGCAACGACUUAAUCAGGUAGUCACUUGUCCAACAUGAACUCGAACAAAAAUGUCCCAACAUUGCUAGCCAAUGUUGAGCAAUCCAAAAUAAAAGAUGAGCAAUAGAUACACUUUUGGCAUGAGUCUAAGACCCAAACUGCUUGCCUUCAAAGGUCUGACCAAAAUUCCAAUUCUUGGGAGCUACAUUGUAAGAUGUUAAGGUGGCCCCAUCACCACUAGUCAUCUCAAAAGAAAGCGGCUGAUUCUUUAAGUCAGCAUUAAUGUGCCAGUUUUGGCCCCAGUUCCUACCCAUAGGAAGCCAGCCUGUUCUUGAACCCUUAACUUUUGCUGCCACUAUAUCACCCGAACCUGCAACAUUACUGAUUAGAACUGACAAGAAUAUACCAGAGCCACCAAGAGUGAAUCGAACUCCACCUUCCUUUCUGCACUUUAUCCUGCGGUAUUGAAUGGGCAUAUUAGAAGCUUUCCAAAUGGCAAUCUUCUCAAAAGCCUCAAUGGGUAGCACAAAA